RNAcentral lists this ribosomal RNA (429 nucleotides) under Actinomycetes bacterium. Its description in RNAcentral is "Actinobacteria bacterium partial 16S ribosomal RNA". It matches the Rfam family "Bacterial small subunit ribosomal RNA", at positions 355 to 776 of the family's 1533-position model. Lineage: Bacteria; Bacillati; Actinomycetota; Actinomycetes. The record is from RNAcentral.
UAGGGAAUCUUCCGCAAUGGGCGAAAGCCUGACGGAGCAACGCCGCGUGAGUGAUGAAGGUCUUCGGAUCGUAAAACUCUGUUAUUAGGGAAGAACAAAUGUGUAAGUAACUAUGCACGUCUUGACGGUACCUAAUCAGAAAGCCACGGCUAACUACGUGCCAGCAGCCGCGGUAAUACGUAGGUGGCAAGCGUUAUCCGGAAUUAUUGGGCGUAAAGCGCGCGUAGGCGGUUUUUUAAGUCUGAUGUGAAAGCCCGCGGCUCAACCGUGGGGGGUCAUUGGAAACUGGAAAACUUGAGUGCAGAAGAGGAAAGUGGAAUUCCAUGUGUAGCGGUGAAAUGCGCAGAGAUAUGGAGGAACACCAGUGGCGAAAGCGACUUUCUGGUCUGUAACUGACGCUGAUGUGCGAAAGCGUGGGGAUCAAACAGG